GGCUUUCCGCCGUUCUACGGUGAAACGGCAGAGGAGAUUUUUGAUGCGGUUUUGAGAGGGAACUUGAGGUUUCCUGUUAGAGCUUUCCACGGCGUGUCGUCGGCUGUUAAAGAUCUGCUAAGGAGGAUGCUUUGUAGAGAUGUUUCCAAGAGGCUCUCCGCCGAACAAGUUUUAAGGCAUCCAUGGAUAACAAAUGGAGGAGGAUGAAGAGUGCAGAACAAGAAGCUCAAGCUCCUAGCUUAGAAUACAUAUGCUUGUAUAGUAGACGGAAUGGCAUCCGUAUGCACAGAGUGUGUGUCCAAAUAGUUUUUUAAUUUUAGGAAUAUGCUUGUUGAUUUGGUAGAAGAAGAGAAGAAGCAAGAUUUUGUACAAAUGAGGUGUUU
RNAcentral lists this unclassified non-coding RNA (383 nucleotides) under Hevea brasiliensis (rubber tree). The record is from RNAcentral. Lineage: Eukaryota; Viridiplantae; Streptophyta; Magnoliopsida; Malpighiales; Euphorbiaceae.